Long non-coding RNA from Uranotaenia lowii, 713 nucleotides. RefSeq lists it as uncharacterized. The transcript has 3 exons. The record is from RefSeq and is a predicted model, not a curated record. Lineage: Eukaryota; Metazoa; Arthropoda; Insecta; Diptera; Culicidae.
AACAAAACUCAACAUGUAUCUGAGUGUGUCUUCACUAUGUCAACAAAGAAAAAAAAAUGGCGUGCGACUGAAGUAUUGUGGAUCGCAUGAUUUCAGAAAACCCUUCUAAUUUGGCGCGGAAACCCAUGUAUGGCCGUAACAACACAUCAGAAUAAACGCACUGAGGCCCAUCGCAAAGCAAGCUACGAAGCUCCACAAAGGACGGACAGCAUAUAAGAGGACGAAUUCCAAGAUCCGGACGGACAAACACCCGAGCUGUUCCAGUGCCAAACACUAGGUUUUGUAGAAGCGGCAGCCCACAAUCGUAGAAUACUAAAGGAUUCAAGAAAAGGCAAAGUAUCCUGGACAUGACGAGAAUUCCGAAAAAUAGACAAAGGUCCAGACGACGGAUACGGCAUUCUCAAGACAACAAAAUGUUAUUGAAGUAAGAAACUAAAAAUGAAGAUGAAACUGAAAAUUUAAAAGAAAAAAACAAGAUAAUUGUGGAUAUCUAGAUACAUGCUAGGUCAGCUAAAUUUUGUGUCGAUUUAGACGUACGGCUCAGUACGGUUUAGGGAAGUAAGAUGAAGGAAAAAAUAAUUCUGAAACACCACAUUUUUUGCACCCAACGUUAAGACAGAAUUAUCUAUUAUGCUUGUUAUAUAAAACUAAUCGAACACAUAAUAUGUUAUACAAAUAUUUAUAUUGAUAUUCAUAGUUUACUUGUUUUGUCA